AACUUGGACAAUAGCUAGCACACAGUACAGUUGUCUAACACAAUUGUCAUUACGCUUAUUUAUUUUCCUUCUGUGAGCAUAUCUUACAUUGAUCAACUCCAGAAUUCGAUGUAUAUGUAGAUAGUGUAGGACCACACUCGCGUGUCUAGAGACAAAUAUGUGUAUUAGUUUCCCUUUCGACAAUGUCCUGCGGAGUCAACAUGUUGUUGUCAAUGGAUUUUCACUAUUGAAUAUGCUUUCUAAAUAUCUGUAGAGUCAAGAAAAUGUCACGUUUUCGAUCUAUAGAUAAUCAUUCCUUCCAUAUUACUAAGCAUUGGUGCAGUAAUACAUGACACAACGAAACAACUGGCUAUUUGUUUGCGCUUGCUCAGCGGUCAAAUUAUAGCAGGAACAAAAAAGUAUAAAUUAUAGCAGGAACAAAACCUAAAACCGCAGAGAAAUUAUAACGUAUUUAUGUUCAUUAAUAAUUUGUCUUGUAAUAUUGGUUUUAGUUUUUUGUUAUUUGCUUCAAUAAAAUAAGGGUUAGAAAAUAUUGUUAAUAAGUUGAAGGAGCGGAGAAAACUCUGGGGGCGUGGAACUUGAAUCUGCUCGAACCAGCCACGCUCGCUCACCCACCAGAUACACAUUUGAAGAACUUCUAACAGAAGAAAGGAGUGUUUUUGGCAGUAAUGCGCCAUAACGUUGGAUGCCAACCGCUGAUAAACCCCACAGACGAAGAGUGUAGUUGUUGAUUGCUAAAUCUCGGUUGGGAAAAUGCAUGUUUACCGUUGACCUCCGGUAUGUGUGAGGAGAGGAGCGGCGCAGGCUUUCUAAUUAAACUCUUCAAUUCAACUUUUGAGGAUGGUGCCCCAUAAUGCUUGAAAUGCUACUCAGCUCAAUGUGCUGGGACAGAUAGAGCUGACACAACAUGUAUAACGCUUGUGAAAAUGCCAGAUCAAGAGAAUGGAGCGACGGUGACGGAUACAGCUGCCAUAGUAUGGCUCACUGGGAAGGUGAUCCCCCAGCUGGAGAAAGACAGUACCUCACCCAACAGGCAGGGGAACACCAGUGGCUGAACCGUGAGGAUGAAGCUGCCGUGUGGGCCCACUACAACUCCCAUCAACAAAACUCUCAGAUGGACUUCCGUGGACAUCGGACACAAGAGACCCAGCCGCCUCCUCUGUAUCAUCAGGACCAUCACAGAAGUCAGAACAUAAGGGAUAGGCCCAAUCUCUAUGGACCCUUGAGAGAACAGGCACCUCCUAAUGUAACCUUACACUGCAGUGGAGAGAGAACAGAAACGUGGGCUAACCAUGAACCCCACUUCCCCAGCAAUGACUUUUUACCCCCACUCAACGUCGAAAGAGGGCAUGAGGAUAUUUCCCAUCACCAUAACACCGACCAGGAUUAUCUGGUUGGUCGUGGAGUGAAUCAUAACAAUCUCCAUUACUUGGAAAGCAAAUGGCAGAUGUUCGAUCCCACCCAUUCCAAUGGACAUGCUAGAGGACAUUGCAAUGUACAUUCAAGGGGAUAUUUUACUGAAUGCUCAAGGGGACGUUCUAGGGGUGGUUCCAGUGGAAAUUCUAGGGGUGGUUCUAGUGUAUGUUCUUGGGGUGGUUCCAGGGGUCGGUCUAGUGGACGUUCUCAGGGUGGUUCCAGGGGUCGGUCUAGUGGACGUUCUCGGGGUGGUUCCAGGGGUCAGUCUAGUGGACGUUCGAGGGCCCAUUCCAAAGCAGCCAGCCAUGGUAUACUAGGACCUAGUGUUCCUUCCCAAACCUCUGUCACCACUGACCAGCAAUAUGCUCCCUCUCCUCCCAAACCUCUCACUGAGACACUUCAGGAAAAACCUCCUGAUAAACAUAAGAUCUCACUCAAUGAAAUACAGGACUGGCUCCACAGUGUUUUAAGAUCUAAAAAUGGACCCAUAAAUGGGAACAACUCAACACAAGACCCCUCCCAGGCACAACAAUUCAGCACAGAGAAGAUGGAUAUUUUACAAGGAGGCAAAAGGCACCUACAUAGUAACACCAAAGACAACCAGGCGAGGCCCCCUGAGAGGUUUAGUCCUGAGGACUCCACUAUACGGCUGGAGAUUAAGUCCACCCCCAGGUGCAUGACCCUGACGGCAGUCGCCACCACUCCGCCCCCUGUGGCUAUUGUCCCUCCAAUGGGUCCACAGCAGUCCCCAGAGCCAAUGGAGACAGAGAAUACAGGCAAUGAGCUGCCAUUUAAGAUUUUACGGGCCUGGUCCAUCAACGAACAACAAGUGGAAAGCCUGUGGGAAAGAGCUAAAGAUGAUGCAAGUUCUCUCUCUGUCCGAAAUGAGCCGGUUCAAGUUGAGAGUUUUAUGGAGUAUGAUAAGCCUGUAGAUGCAUCUGCAACAAGUUCACUGGCAUCUACUGGAGAGGACAAUGAUGAGGUCCUUCAGGUCAUCACACAGACGGACAAGAGUUCACCUUCACCAUUUGUCCACACCAUCCCUCAGGCAACUGAUAUUGUACGCAACGGAGGUACCCAGACAAUCGUGGAAGUUAGCUCCAACGGCGCAGAUGAGAGAUCUCUUGUUCUGUCCACAAUUGCUGAAGUUCAGUUCAAGUUACGUACGCUGCAGCAACUGGUUACUUAUCGGGAGAAUGCAGCAACAAUCACAGAGGCAAAGGAUGGUUGUCUAGAAGCCAUAUUGGAGCAGUAUUGGGGCGGGGAAACCUCUAACCUGGUAGAAGCUUUAAAAGAUAAAAGGGAUAAGGAAAUCAUGCGAGAUGUGUCUGCCUGGGCCGCAGAGGAUGAGGAAGCAGUGGUUCUCUUUGCAGUCAGUGGUAUAUCACUGGAGGAAGUGGUCGAGAAGUUUCCCAUUCCAGCGCAUGUUGACAGCUCUUCCCAAGUGGGUUACAGGUCAUCCUGGUUAAAUGUCAAUGAGAAGCUGAAUGACAUUGACAAAGAAUCUGGAAGAGCUUGGUCUCUCUGGUUCAUACCAGAUAAAGCAGAGGAGAGUUCCAAAGUUGUUGGGGGAGUCAAAAUGGAUGACACCUUCCACAGCAAGAUGGAGACUGUGGAAUUUCCUGCACGACAACCUGUUGUAACAACAGGCUCAGACCUCACAACAAACAUAGACCUCAUGAUGGUUGCAGACUCCUCAACAGACACAGACCUCCCAACAGAUGCAGACUUGGAGACCGAACCCCUUUCCCCAAUGAUUUUGACCGUCCUCACACCAGAGGAUGCUGUGAAACUGCUUGCUGAAACAGAGGCACCAGGCGCAGACCUCACAACAGACACAAACUGCCCGACAAAUGCAGACCUCACAACCGACUCAGACACAGACCCCCUUUCCCCAAUGCAUUUGACCGUCCUGACAUCUGAGGAUGCCAUGAGACUGUUUUGCCAGAUCGAAAAUGGCUCUGACCUCCAACUCGGGUCCCAUGAACCAUGCUCUGAAGACAAAGACGAGACAAAGACAAAGCAACAAGAGAAUAUAGAAAGUGGCAGCUUAGAUAAGUCCUGCUAUUGUCCUUGUAUUAUUGAAACUGACAAUGGGUUUGAAAGUGGCCUAUGCACCAGUUGUCAGAGGGAGAAAGGACUGCAGCAAGGUACAAGAUGCUUAACAAUCGCUCAAUGCUUUACCCUGUUAGAUACAAGCGACAAUUCAGAUCAGGAGACAGAAGAGGUCCCUAAGGACUCUGGGGGGAAGGCGACUGGGGACAAUCAAUGCAGGGACAAGAAGCAGAUACAAUCAACUGAAGAAGAGGGUGAUGACAAUCAAUCCUGUGACAAUAAGACAGAGGGAGAAAUGCAGCAAUGUACAGGUGUCAUACCGAUCACUGACUUUUUAUUCUGGUCAGAUACAAUUGAGGAUUCAGAUCAGGAGACAGAGGAGAACCCUAAUGAACAACAUGCUCAGAUUGAGGCUCAUGCUUCUAAUGUUAAAAGGACAGAGCCUGAAACUGAUGCCAAAGCACCCUGUGAGUCAGCCCAAGAACAUACUACCCAAAGUAAAGUCAGUCCUGGUUCUGAGGAUAGGGAAAUGCCGCAAGAGAAGGACCAAGACUGUAGGACGAGUACAUUACCAAUUCCCACGUUUGAAAACCCCUCUAAGUUAAGAGCUAACAUCAUAGCAGACAAGUGGUGUUCACCUGUAGAGGACUGUGGUUCACCUGCAGAGAAGUAUGACAAAGUUGCUGACUUUGUCCCUCAAUACAAAACCUGCAACUCAAAGAAAAAUGGAAAAGAAAAAAUGGAAAAGGAGGAAACCCUCCAUCCAACAUCAUCUGACAGACAAAAGCCCAAGAAACGCCAUGGGAGAGCAGAGAGAGGACAGUCACCAUCCCAACCCCCUAAGAGCUCUGGGGUGAAGGCAACUUUGAAUAAUCAACGCAGGGACAAGAAGCCACAUGCGUCACACAAGAGGAGACAUUUGACUGAGAGGGAUGAAAGUCGAUGCAAAGACAAGAAGAGGGGAUCAUCAACUGAGAAAGAGCGUGAGGGCAGUCAAUCCAGGGACAAUAAGCCACCGAAGAGGAGACAUUCAACUGAGAAAGAGAGUGAGGACAAUCAAAGUAGAGGCAAGAAGGGGAGACUUUCAAUGGAACAACUGGGUGAGGCCAGUCAAUCUAGGGACAAGACGUCGCAGAAGAGGAGAAAUUCAACUAAAACUGAAAGCAGGAACUCCAAAGAGUUCCAGUGCCAGUUGGUGGAAAGCGAGAGCGACAGAGGCAGUAAGAAGUCACCGCCGUGCCCUGGGGUGAAAACCCUCCAUGUGCUGGGAUCCUCAUCUACCACUGUUCCUCUCAAACUCUCCCUAAACAUCCACAAAAAGCCUUCCACAAAUGGCUCACCCUCAACACAUACUGAGGAAGUCGCCAAAAAGCCAAAGACUAAAACCCCAUACAAAACUAGCAGACACCACUCCCCUGCAAUGUCAGUGUCUCCUGUUGUCAAAGAGAGGCAGAGGAACGGUGUGAAACACAAGCAAAAAAUUCAACCCCUAAAAGUCAGAUUGAAAAAGCUGUCCUUACCCAAACAUCUUGUCAGGAAAGGUUCCCCACCAAGGCAGAAGAGGGUGGAGGAUAGAGGAGACCCUCUGAGUUUAGGGGUAAUGGUCUCUAAGAAUCCUGACUCGUGCAAGAAACUAAAACGUAAGGCAGAGAGCGACUUGACAUCCCAACAGAUGUUGUCAAAGAUUCCAAAGGUGUUGAAUAGGAAUGAGACAGGAAAGUUGUCAAAAAGCGAGCGUGAGUGCGACUCGCUGCCCCGCAAGCCAAAGCUGCCAAGAAUUCUGAAGCUUCUAAGAACUCCAGAGGUUUCAAAGGAUGGGAAUGAGAGAGAGAACAGAGAAAAGACAUCUCCCAGUGCUUCACCUGAAUCACAAAUGCUAAACAAACCUGCAAGAGUGGCACACAAGCCCAAACCUUGUAUCAAGCCUGCCAGUCCCAAUGGUUAUAGCCCAGGUAGUCAUGCUUGCUCUAAUCCGGCUAGGAUAUCACAGCAACAUGGCAAUGGACAUUAUGGGGCAAAAGUUACUGCGAGGCAGCAGGUGUUCUCAGAUUGGGAGAGCAGCUUUGUCCCGACUCCAACCCCCCGGACUCGUAGACGAUCAGGGUGUUCUCCAGAGGAAGUGGAAGGUCCACAGGCCAGUCCCAGGUGCAGCUCGGAGACCAGGAUCAUUCGACCCAUUCUAAAACGUGUCGAUUCUCUGCCGAAACCCAAGCGGAAUGUCAGCUUUCUUUUGAAUCCAAUGAACGUGCACUACUUCAAUCCCCGUGAAUAUGAAAAUCACGUAAUGUUCAACAGGUCUUACACAGAUCCGGAAGAUGCACAGCCUUCUGACGAUGAAGAGGAAGAUGCUUCUGUGAACUGCCAGAAUCUGAAGGAACAGUCCCCUCUUAGGGAAGAGAAGCGGCAAGAUCUAGGGGAGCUGAAGCCUGGACCAAGCGCUGCAUGUGAAAAGAGCUUCAAAAGGAAGUGGGAAAUGCAGGAGCCUGCUCCCAUUUUGAUGAAGAAGAGCAUUGUUCAGGCAAAGCGUUUGACAAAGUCUCUCCAUCAUGAACCUCCAAAAGACUCGGCAAGAAAAACUGGAGUUGGUUACAAGUGGUCAGAGAAGCAGAGGAAGAGGCCCAAUGAAACUGAAGGUACAUCGCAGGCUAUGCCAGCCUCACAUGAACUUCCCGUACAUAUUUGCCCAUGGUAGAAGAUGUGAGAAAGUGACUUUUUGGACCAGAAUGCCAAAACAUUCAGGAGAUAGAGGUGCCCAAAGUUGACGAUUUUGCAUACCCUACCGUACAUCCAUGUCUUCAUCACUGGAAAGGUACCUCUCUGAAUGCAAGCCUCCCUCACGGUCACCAUCCAGGUUCCUCUCAGAAUGUAAGCCCCCAUCGUGGUUACCAUUUAUCCUCCAGCCAAGUGAGAAGAGUUGAGCCAAUGGCCAGUCACCAUAGCUCUCCUGUGGGCGAAUGGAACGAGCGUUGGUCAGGAGAUUUGUAAGCAUAUCAGUCGGCUCUGACAGGAUACACGAGACGGGAACAGUAGUUGAUGGCAACUGGCAAAGACAAUACUUUUACCUCAAACCUGACAUUAUUCAUAUGCUGUUCUUUAAAAAAAACUUGAAACAUUACCAGACAGCCAUAUUUAGGCUACAUUAUGCAGUUGACUUUUCUACAUGUCUUUAUCUGUUUUUAAAUGAACAGACAUCUGAUUUCUCUCCCUAUAAUAGGUUCGGUUAGCUGUGGUUGAAACCGUCAGACGUAUGUUUUAUAUACCAUGUGUUACUGUUACUCUUGACACCUAAGGGUGAUUGGUGUUCGGUUACUCUUAUAGUAUUGUUUGCCUACAUUGUUAGAGCGUCAUAGUGAUUGAAUCAUCAUAGUGAUGGUAUUGUACAUUGUAUUAAGUUUGUUUACAGUCUUUUUUUAUUGACCAUUUGUUUUAUUGCAGCCAGAACCAAAGCUAAAGGGGAGAAACCAGACUGAGAUUAUUGUUUUAUGAGAUUCUGCUGUCUCAUACACAAAGAAAUGUGUCAAUUGUAACUUUUUUUUUUUUUUUACACUGGGGAUAAAAUGAAUCAGAUAUCCGUCAUCAAAUUAUAUUUGAAGCCAUUGUCACUUUAUCUCUGUGGCCGUAGAUGUUGCUUGUAGUUAAAUUCAACUACUGCUAAUGUUUUGGCUAUUGCGGAAUGGUGUGUACUUUACAGGUCACUGGUUUUAUACUUCGUCUUAAACAUUGGUCGAAAUGCCAUUUUUGUUUUUAAUAUAUGUCAGUUUUUGUCCGUUUUGAUAUUGUACUGUUUUAGUUUACCUCUGAUGUUUACUGUGUUGUUAUGGCACUGAACUAAUAUAUAAAUACAGAAAAUAUG
Molecule: RNA transcript, 7324 nt
Organism: Oncorhynchus kisutch (coho salmon)
Lineage: Eukaryota; Metazoa; Chordata; Actinopteri; Salmoniformes; Salmonidae
Exons: 5
Source: RefSeq, a predicted model, not a curated record